RNAcentral lists this unclassified non-coding RNA (334 nucleotides) under soil metagenome. RNAcentral's name for it is "partial contains 5.8S ribosomal RNA, internal transcribed spacer 2, and large subunit ribosomal RNA". The stretch from base 1 to 120 matches the Rfam family "5.8S ribosomal RNA", at positions 35 to 154 of the family's 154-position model. The record is from RNAcentral.
GAUGAAGAACGUAGUGAAAUGCGAUAAGUAAUGUGAAUUGCAGAAUUCAGUGAAUCAUCGAAUCUUUGAACGCACAUUGCGCCCAUUAGUAUUCUAGUGGGCAUGCCUGUUCGAGCGUCAUUUCAACCCUUAAGCCUAGCUUAGUAUUGGGAAUCGACUUUACUGUCGUUCCUCAAAUUCAACGGCGGAUUUAUAGCAAUCUCUGAACGUAGUAAUUUUUUUUCUCGUUUUUGAAAUACUAUAAACCUCAGCCGCUAAACCCCCAAUUUCUUAUUGUUGACCUCGGAUCAGGUAGGAAUACCCGCUGAACUUAAGCAUAUCAAUAAGCGGAGGA